This 62-nucleotide transfer RNA is filed under the name Cromna sinensis. Its description in RNAcentral is "tRNA-Leu". The record is from RNAcentral. Lineage: Eukaryota; Metazoa; Arthropoda; Insecta; Hemiptera; Flatidae.
ACUAAUUUGGCAGAUGAAGUGCUUUAAAUUUAGAAUUUAAUAAUGUAGAAUUACAGUUAGUA